RNAcentral lists this ribosomal RNA (402 nucleotides) under uncultured prokaryote. RNAcentral's name for it is "bacterial SSU rRNA". It matches the Rfam family "Bacterial small subunit ribosomal RNA", at positions 355 to 774 of the family's 1533-position model. The record is from RNAcentral.
UAGGGAAUAUUAGAAAUGGACGAAAGUCUGAUCUAGCAACACCGCGUGUGCGAAGAAGGCCUUCGGGUUGUAAAGCACUUUUUGGAAGGAUUAGGAAGGAAUGUACUUCCAGAAUAAGUCUCGGCUAACUACGUGCCAGCAGCCGCGGUAACACGUAGGAGGCAAACGUUAUCCGGAUUUACUGGGCGUAAAGCGCGUGUAGGUGGUUCUGUAAGUAGGGCGUGAAAGCUCCUGGCUCAACUGGGAGAGGCCGUUCUAAACUGCAGAGCCAGAGGAUGGUAGAGGGAGGUGGAAUUCCGGGUGUAGCGGUGGAAUGCGCAGAUAUCCGGAGGAACACCAGUGGCGAAGGCGCUUCUCUGGACUGUAACUGACGCUGAGGCUCGAAAGCGUGGGGAGCAAACA